Daphnia carinata is the source of this 568-nucleotide long non-coding RNA. RefSeq lists it as uncharacterized. The record is from RefSeq and is a predicted model, not a curated record. Lineage: Eukaryota; Metazoa; Arthropoda; Branchiopoda; Diplostraca; Daphniidae. The transcript is spliced from 3 exons.
UCUCAGUUAGUUGAGUAGCGUGGAUGCAGAAUAACGUGUGGCUUGUGAAAAAUAUGUUAAAAUGGAUAAGAUAAUAAAAGAUAAGGAUGCUCUAAUUAUGAACCUGCAGGCUCAAUUAUUGUUCGUAAUCAGUUCAUGCAGCGAUGGAACUGAACAAUUGUGGGACCGUAUUUGGGCCAAAAAUGGAUGUGGUACGGAAACCCAGAAAUGGCACGAGUUCAACCUAAAACAUGGAUUAGAAUUUUAGUGGGGGGAUCAAGUCAAGUCUGGAAGUGUUACAGAUGGAAGAGUCAGCCUAUAGUUAGAAAAACACUGAGAGUGCAUUACCGUUAAGGUGUGAGGUAAAGUAAUAGAGUAAUGCAAAUUGUCUAAUGAGAAGUACCAUCUUGUGUUAAUGAAUCCGGUACAACAGCAAUCCUUUAUAGUUCUGUCACAGCUAGAAGCCUCAAAUAAUUCUGCUUCUCUGGCUAAACAACUUGUCCUUUACGUUCACAGUGUUGGUGAAACUGGGUACUUAAAUGGCCCUAAAGAUGUUUUAAUUUUGCUGCCGUUGCAGAGAUGAACAUCA